GACGAACGCUGGCGGCGUGCUUAACACAUGCAAGUCGAACGGAAAGGCCCUGCUUUUGUGGGGUGCUCGAGUGGCGAACGGGUGAGUAACACGUGAGUAACCUGCCCUUGACUUUGGGAUAACUUCAGGAAACUGGGGCUAAUACCGGAUAGGAGCUCCUGCUGCACGGUGGGGGUUGGAAAUUUUCGGCGGCUGGGGAUGGAAUCGCGGUUUAUCAGCUUGUUGGUGGGGUAGUGGCUUACCAAGGCUUUGACGGGUAGCCGGCCUGAGAGGGUGACCGGCCACAUUGGGACUGAGAUACGGCCGAGACUCAUACGGGAGGCAGCAGUGGAGAAUAUAGCACAAUGGGCGGAAGCCGGAUGAAGCAUCGCCGCGUGCGGGAUGACGGCCUUCGGGUAGUAAACCGAUUUCGCCUGUAACGAAGCGUGAGUGACUGGAAUGAGUAAAGAAGCACCGGCUAACUACGU
RNAcentral lists this ribosomal RNA (467 nucleotides) under uncultured bacterium. Its description in RNAcentral is "partial 16S ribosomal RNA". It matches the Rfam family "Bacterial small subunit ribosomal RNA", at positions 28 to 506 of the family's 1533-position model. The record is from RNAcentral.